Molecule: long non-coding RNA, 1427 nt
Filed under: Heterocephalus glaber (naked mole-rat)
Lineage: Eukaryota; Metazoa; Chordata; Mammalia; Rodentia; Bathyergidae
Description: lncRNA (ENSHGLG00100041915.1)
Source: RNAcentral
CAGAAAGUUAUUUCUCACAGUUCUGGAGCCUGGAAAGCCCAAAACAAUGGUGCUGACAUCUAGCAAGACACUUCUUGCUGUAUCAUCUCAUGCAGAAAGACAGAGAGAGCAAGAGAUUCAUACCUCCAACAAGUUUCUUGGCUGGGAUUGCUAAUGCUGGGAACUGCAAGAUCUAGAUUGGCCUCAUCUAUUGUACCUGUCAGUGUGCAAGCAGGUGGGGAGAACUGUUCCAUGUCCAUUCAAGACUAGGGCUUGUGGAGCUCAAUCAUCUGGAAACUCCCCAGUCACCAUGACAAGAGAAAGAUGAUGCAGAAUCACAGUCCAGUCCUUAAGGCUUCUAACAGAAGUCCACUGUGUUUGGGAAAAUGCAAUGUUACCAUAUUUCUCAAAAGAAGGAGGAAUAGAAAUAUAAACAGGACCAAUAAAUACCAAAUUUCUAGAAUUUCUGGGAGAAAGAGAAAUGAAGAUCACAAAUGGAAUUAACAUUGGAAUUCAGUUGCAUUUAGAAGAAUAAAGAACUUUUCAUGGAAACCAUGACAGAGCAUACUGUAAUCACUUCAUAAAUACACAAAUAGGAAUUUAGCUGAUUAAUCAUUUCAUUCUAAUCAUCUGGUACUGGGCCAGGUACUUAGUUUGUGCCUAAUUUUUAUUUAUUGAUUUGACAAAUGUUUGGGAUAUCUAUAAACCCAGAGAUAAAAAGAGGAUCAUAUCCAAGUUUGUUUCCUACACCAAAAAUCAGUUACAAAGGUUUUGAAUGUAAUAACAAAUAUAUGUUGGAAAAUGUUAAUGUUCUUUGCAAAAUGUAUUUCUCUGUUAUCUGUGUCCUAUAUGUGUUGUAUUCCUUAUUUACUGCUGCAUAACAAGCCAAUCCAUAACAGAGUACUUAGAAGAACUAUUUGUUAUUACUCUCAGUCUAUAGGCCAGGAGGGCUGUUCUGUUGAUCUGGCAAGGCUCUGCAAAUCUUGGCUGGGAUUGCUGAUGCUGGAAACUACAAGAUCUAGGCUGGCCUCACACUGGUGUGGUGUGCAGUUUGGCUCCAUGCUUGCUUGGAAAAUAGGAAAGACUGAGCCAUGUGUCUUUCAUACAGAGGCUAACUAGAGCUUAUUUACAUGGUGGCAGCAUGUGAGGCAAAACAGGGUAAAUACUAAUGUGCAAGUGCUGUUCUUUGCAUAAUGUUUGCUUGCUACUAUCCCACUGGCCAAAGCAAAUCACAAGGAUAAGCCAAAAAUUUUAGUGGGUGGAUAUUAACUGUCUUAGUCACUUUUGGAUAUUAAUUGUCUUAGUCACUUUCUCUCUGCUGGAACACAGUACCUGAUACCCACAACUAAAGGAGGAGAGGUUUAUUUUGGCUUAUGUUUUUAGUCCAUGAUCUGCUAGCUCAAAGGCAGAAAAGCAAGAUGGAAGGCCCUGGGUGAAGGAAAGCUGCU